UGGAAGAAGCUUCCAACUUUCAGCUAAUGCAUGGUAGGCAUUUCUAGUCCCGUUUUUAAUUAUUUUUAUAUUUUCGGGAUCGUUGUUGCUUAAUCUAUCUAAUGAGGGGACUAUUUUGCAAAAACAUUGAAUAGUUUGAUAUUUUCCAUUGAUGAAUAUAAUAGGGCUUUGAAGUUUAAUGGAAGAAUAUGAGUCCUUGUUGAUAGUUAAACACUUUUUGUUAAGUGAAUUUUUGUGAAAUUGACAAUUAAGGGCUAAAUUGAUAAAUGUGAAAAAUUUGUGGUUAAAAUGUCAAAUAAAUGAAAUGUGUGGGCUGCUAGAGACACUAAUGAUAUUCGUCUAUAGUAGAAUUUUACUCAAUUUCAUGAAUUUGCAUUUUUAUGAUAUAGGGACUAAAUUGUAAAGAAGUUGAAAUAUUAGGGGCAAAACUAUAAUCUUGCCAUAAAGUGAAUUAUGGACUGUUUUGAUACCAUGAACAUUUGGCUAAGCUUAAUUAUGGUUAAAAAUGGUUAAUUUGCAUGUUUUGAGCUCAAGGACUAAAAUGAAUAAAAGUAAAACUUUAGGGGUAAUUUUGUAAAAAUGAAAAAAAUGACCAAAUUGUAUGAAAUGAGGUGUUUUAAUGUCUAAAUUAAUAUACUAAAUGAAAUUAUUAAUUUAGAUCAAGAUCGGGUGGAAAAUCGAGAAAAAUGAGAAAAUUACCAAAAUGCCCUGAACUUUGGUAUCUCUACAAUUUAGCCAGGUAAGUUCGUAUGCAAUAAGCAUUGUUAAAUUGAUGUUUCUAAUGCUUUAAUAUUGUAUAAAUUGUAUAUACGUGAAUAUUUUAAUGUCUGACGACAUAUCGACAAAAUGUGGCACUUAGUGCGGGGCAAUCAAAUAUGGUACUCAGUGUACGAAAUAUUGAGAAUGGCACUUAGUGUGCGAGAUAUUAAGAAUGACACUUAGUGUGCAAAAUAUCGAAUGAUUCAAAGGGAAAUUAUAAAUUGUGAUUGAAUGAUUAAAUAGUGCAAAGUGAACAGGUAUACAUGCUAUAUUAUAUGAAUUGUUUAUGAGACGACUUUAUAAUGGUGAUAUUUGGGCUUUGAGCCUAGCAAGCUUUAAGCUGGUGAAUAAUAUUAUCGGCUUUAAAACCUAGCAGGCUAAAUGCCGGUGAUUUGAUAAAAGUCUAAGACUAUGAGACCUUGUGUUAAAUCGGCAAUUGAAUUUGUUCAAUGCAUUAAGUUGGCCAGGUAUGUGAUAUAUUCUUAUGCAUGUUAGAUCGAUUGGAAUUGAAUCAUGAAUGUGAAAUGAGAAGCAUAGGUGAAAAUGCCUAUGUCAUAUAUGUGAGUAAGGGCAAAACCAUCGUAAAUUAUCGAUAAGGGUGAACUAUGUGCGGAAUCAUCUUAUAAUUGCUAAUUUGAACGGUUGUGUGCGAAUCAUUGAGCAUGAUGUAUUGUAUUGAGAUUAUGCUUGAGUGAAAUUAUAGAUAUGUGAUGAAAUUGAUUGGUGAUAUACAUGUUUAAAUAAUGUGAAUGCAAAGAAUGUGUGAAAGAGUAAAUUUGUAAUAAAUCUGCUUGGAACAGCAGCAGUAAUGUGAUUUUGGAAAAUCACCAUAAAUUGUUGGAGUUGAGUUAGAAGCUGAAUAAAUUAUUUAAUUAAAGCUUAAUGAGUCUAGUUUCUAAUACAAGAAACCGUGUAAGCAAAAGAAUUGCUGAUAAUGAGAUAUUUGAAGUGGCGUGGGAUAGAGUCAAAUGACUUCAGGGUCCCCUGUUCUAUUUUUAGAAAAUCAUUAUAAUUUGUACAAAAAUGGUUAUAAGAUAAAAUUUAUAUUCUUAGACUCCUUAAUGAGUCUAGUUUCAAAUGAAAUCAAAUAGAACAUAUUUUGAAUUCUGUACAAUGAGAAAUUUGAUUCGUAGUGAAGAGUGGUCAGAUUAGUCAAACAGUGAAAUAGGGGAAACUUUAAGAAAAAUCUGGUAUUGAUUGGCCAAACCUAAAAUUCUGAAAAUUUUAUGGAUGGAAGAUAUAUGAGUCUAUUUUCAGGGAAAAUUAACGGAAAUUGAUUUGGAGUUUUGUAACUCCAUCUAUAAAUAAUUUAGUGACUAUUGCUCAGGAAGACAACUUGUUGUGAAUUUGUGAUUAUGUUUUAAACAUCGAUAAAACUUGUUAAUGAGUUUCUUAUUGUUUUCUUAUGAACUUACUAAGCGUAAAGCUAACUCCCCUUUUCUUUCCCAUAUUCCCUAGGGUUGCCAGGUUAGCUCGGGUUGGAGGCCGUCAGAGAUAUUAUCACAUUGUCAAGUCUACGCUAUCGGCGUAAGUAAAUCUUAGUGUUUCGAGUCUAUGACAUGUAUAGGGUUGUAAAGUUGAGUAAGUAAAUGAUAUAAGACUAAGAUAUUGGUAAAUAUUUAAUAAUGCCUCAUGAAUAUUUUGGACCUUGUAAGCCCGAGUAAAGGAUAAUAUACGUGUGUAUGAAAAGUUUAAA
Molecule: long non-coding RNA, 2455 nt
Filed under: Gossypium barbadense (sea-island cotton)
Lineage: Eukaryota; Viridiplantae; Streptophyta; Magnoliopsida; Malvales; Malvaceae
Description: long non-coding RNA (GBAR_LNC002659)
Source: RNAcentral